AUGAUUAAAGACAGGAAUGAGCUACUAGGUGAAGGUAUGUGGCAUCUUCAUCCCUGGAGAUUGUGGAGAACCCUCAGUCCCAGAUUGACUAAUUGUUCACCUGCCUCUAGAGAAGGGGUAAGCAAACAAUCUUUCAAGGUUUCUUUCCACUGCUGUGAUUUUACACUGAUUAGCAGAUACCUGUUAUAUAUUCCUCCUAACAUUCCUGAUCCAAAUUGCAAUCUGUUCCUUGCCUGCUUUUUUUCUUUGCAGUGUGGUGCAAAGCUAUUUUUAUUUUCCAUUAAUUCAGUAGGAAUAGCAGAUCAGGUGAAAAUUGACUUGUGGUAUCUACUAUUGAGGAUCUACAGGCUGUUUAGUGGACAUCUCCCAAGUUUCUGUUAAGAAAACUGCAGAAGUCGUCAAACUUCGGUUGCAAAGAAUACAAAAGUGUCACUUUUAAAUUAAUACCAAAAUCUGUCUAGAAACAAACCAACCACUGCAAAUUUGGUUUUACAUGGUGAUUAAAUCAAAAGGUACUUGUGCUAUUGAAUUUUAAAUAGUCUUAACUUUUUCUAGAUCUGAAAGAACAGUAUGAGAAAAUAAAAGCUUCACAAGCAGUUUCAAUAUGACAGCACUGGUUGAACAAGUGUGCAUAUGUGGCAGGCAGUAUUCAAAAAUAGGCUAAACUCCUAUUUCCAAUGUCUUGGAAAACCUAAAAGCAAUUAACAUUUGUUUUUAUGAAUAGCUACAAUGUUCUGAAUUGCCAUCAAGUAGAUUUUUCAGACUAUUUUCAUGAAUCUAUCGCUUAAAAUCAACUCAUUUUCUUAUUGUCAGUCCCACUACUAAAUUGAAGCCUACCCACGUAAAAAGAAUUGCACUUUGCAGCCAAAAACUAACAGUGAUUUGGAUUCAACAUUAUAUAUGCCUUUUUGCUUUCUUCCAGGAUUAACUAACACUUCAAUUGUCUAGCACUUCUUGCUAAGCUUCUUCCUUUAUUCAUUUUUCAUCACUGAUUGUAUACUGAAGGGGUUAUAUUACCUCCCUUCAAAAGUUCAUGUUUUACAUAAGUGUAAAACUAAAGUGUCUGCAUAAUAUGCUAUUGUCACCAUUCCAUAAACACCUUAUAAGCAUUCUGUAGCAAAUUCACAUUAAUAAACUGACAGAGAACUUGUUCAAAGUUUGUUGGCUUGAAGUUCCCUAACGCGGUUCUGAGGGUGACCCCAAAAAGAUUGUGGGGGGUGGGGGGAGAGAAUACAUCAUUAGGUUCUGGGCACCUGACAGGAGUACUUCAACAAACAGUUGCUGCUCCUGUAGACUGUAAGCUCCUUGUGGGCAGGGAUCACGUCUACCAACUCUGUUGGACUGUACUUUCCCAAGCGUUUAGCAAAGUGCUCUGCACUCAGUAGGCACUCAAUACAUACCACUGAUUGAUUGAUUCCCAACAAUACCAUAUGUAGGGCCUGGUCAUUUAAACCACUUAGAUUCCUAAGCACUGAAUAAUGACAACAUUAAGCCCUUUAAGGCUUUUGUUUUGAGGCUGCCUUGAGCCAAACGUAUUAUACAACUUCUGAGCAACAUGGGCAUUCUCAAAAAUGAAUGAUACUCGGCUGAUGAUUUUUGCCACAUUUAAAAAUUCCCCCUCUGCCCCCCACAAAAUCCUUAGAAGCACAACACAACACAACACACACACACACACACACAAAGAGCUCAAGGCUGAAUUUAUGAAAACAGAUUUCCAGUAUAGUAUUCAAAUAUGGAAAGUUUAGGACAGUACUGACCCUGCUGAGACUCACUCAGAAAAUAUUUUACAUCUUAAAUGUGAGAGCCCCCUUUCUGCCUCUUCAAAAUUUUAUCUUAGAAAGGCAACUUAGAAAGAGACUCUGUGGGAGGGACAAGCCAAUCUCCCUUGGCAUACGGAUUUAAUGGAUCAUUCUACCCUUUGAGAAAUGACAUUUCUUUGGAAAUCUUGAUAUUUUUUCCCCAUAUUAAUUCUUUGCAUUUGGUUAUCUUUUAUCAAAACUAAAAUUUUUAUAUUCCUAUUAACCUGAAUCUUCAAAAAAAUCUAUAGAAUGUUUUGUCUCAUAAAAAGUAUCCCACCCCCACUCCCCAAUACUUUAUUGUCCUUUUACUGGGCAUCAGUGGCUUUGAACAAACUUUUAAAAGUUACAACUCCUGGCAGCUUCUUCUCCCAAAUUACUUGCAAAUAGACGGGACAGAAUAUAGGCUGUUUUGUCUUUUUGAGUUAUGCUACCCUUUUGUAUUCCAUUCCUGGAACAUUGCAAUAAAAAUCCUAAAGCCUUAGUCCCUUCUUGAAAGGUUCGUUCACUGUGCCCCACUCUGUGAUUCCCUUAGAAGGCUUCUCAACUCAUUUUGCCUAACUGCUGGUUAGUGACCUACAGAAGACAUCAGUGUAAAAAAUAAAAUAAAAUAAAAAAAAAUAAAUCUACAGCAAUGUUCAUCCCACCACAUUCUUCUACCCCGCCAUUCUAUGUCAAAUAGUGGCAAUAUGAUUUUUUUCCUGCAAGGAAAAUCUCACAGAAUUGUAGCAAGCAGCCCAGACCACUUUUAACACUGACAAAAGCAAUUCUGUGGCUGAACUUGAUCCAGUGUCUAUUAAGAGAUAUUUACUGCUACAGACAUGGCUUCAGGAAAUUCUACAUUAAAAUAGCAGUCCAGAAGAGUUCUAGACCUGAGGACCAUGGGCAGCUGGGAUAAACUCAAAGGCAUCGUGGAGUCCAGAGUGCCAGAUAGAGGUUUUACUUGUAGUGAAAACUGUCCAGUUCUUUUCU
Molecule: long non-coding RNA, 2768 nt
Filed under: Ornithorhynchus anatinus (platypus)
Lineage: Eukaryota; Metazoa; Chordata; Mammalia; Monotremata; Ornithorhynchidae
Description: lncRNA (ENSOANG00000011376.4)
Source: RNAcentral